Molecule: ribosomal RNA, 460 nt
Filed under: uncultured bacterium
Lineage: Bacteria
Description: partial 16S ribosomal RNA
Rfam family: Bacterial small subunit ribosomal RNA
Source: RNAcentral
CCUACGGGAGGCUGCAGUGAGGAAUAUUGGUCAAUGGGCGCUAGCCUGAACCAGCCAAGCAGCGUGAAGGAUGACUGCCCUAUGGGUUGUAAACUUCUUUUAUAUGGGAAUAAAGUGCAGUAUGUAUACUGCUUUGCAUGUACCUUAUGAAUAAGGAUAGGCUAACUCCGUGCCAGCAGCCGCGGUAAUGCGGUGGAUCCGAGCGUUAUCCGGAUUUAUUGGGUUUAAAGGGAGCGUAGGCGGGUUGUUAAGUCAGUUGUGAAAGUUUGCGGCUCAACCGUAAAAUUGCAGUUGAUACUGGCAUGCUAGAGUACAGUAGAGGGAGGUGGAAUUCGUGGUGUAGCGGUGAAAUGCUUAGAUAUCUCGAGGAACUCCGAUUGCGAAGGCAGCCUGCUGGACUGAAACUGACGCUGAGGCUCGAAAGUGUGGGUAGCAAACAGGAUUAGAUACCCGUGUAGUC